RNAcentral lists this long non-coding RNA (362 nucleotides) under Volvox carteri. RNAcentral describes it as "long non-coding RNA (VCAR_LNC002559)". The record is from RNAcentral. Lineage: Eukaryota; Viridiplantae; Chlorophyta; Chlorophyceae; Chlamydomonadales; Volvocaceae.
UUGAUGCUGCAAUCCUCGCAUAACCAGAAGAAGGGUCACAGGUAUUCAGGUGAAUAUUUUUUCUUUGAAGUGUGUUUGGGUUUGUUGGUUUGAGGAAAUCGAAUGUAAGCACGGGCGACUACUGUACGCAAUUGCGCACAGUAGUCCUUGCAGGGAGACUACUGCUGUCGUAACGCGAAUUCGGUUCUGCCGCUUAGGUUUGCCUGUAAUAAUUCUAUUCAUCUGUUGUUUGGCGGUAAGUUUGGCGGUAAGCAGUGCUGGAGUCAAAAGCUACUAAACACACUUUCCGAUGCCCUGCGUGUACAGUUUUGCCUACCGGGGGCCCCAUCCCGCCUUCUUUCGGAAGCGCUAUACUCUCAAGG